AGGGUCACACAGAAAGGACAAAGUGUGUCAUCACAGGACUGUGUGAGGUCUGACGCAGAACUCACUGGAAUUGCUGGAAAUAUAAGGUGCUUUGGCUCAGACCCAAACAGACCAGCCAGAAAUAAUGCUGAAAAGAGCUGAGAGGCUAAGCAUGGAAGAAGGGCAAGAUGCAAAAACAUUUCUGGGCAUAGAAGUCGGCUUCUUGGCUCCCUCUUUCGCCAGUGCUCUGGGUAUGGCAUGGCUAACACAGGAGAACAGCCCAUUGCUGAUCCUAGCCAUGACCUAGGAGGGCCAUGGUCAAUGGUGGAGAUGCCACAGCUCUACAGUUCCUAGAAGGUAGGAUGACCACAGCUUCCCAGGCGUCAUUCCCAUAGGUCAAACUGGACAGGCUGUCUCUGCUAGCAAACUGGCUUUGGAAGAAAGUUCACUGAAGCUUAAUACAAGGUACUACAGGUAAUAAAGACUGAAGAGCAUGGUUAGCAGAAAAAAAAUCCCUAAAAUUAAAACCCACACACAAAGACCAUUUAAGCGUGAUACUGCAGUGAAAUUCCUUCUGUUGUCAGGGUGACACUCACAGUGUCACUGGGGUGUACAUAUCUAGCACACUCCAUGGCUCAAACAGGAGACUAGGCAGCAAGUUUGAGGAGUGUAGGUAGAUUAGGGAUUGGCCCAGGGCAAAUGAGGUGCUGAUGAGAUGUGUGCAGAAGAAAAUGGGUGUGAGAGGAGAAAGAGAGAGGGUAAGGAGUGAAAAACAGCAGAUGCAGAAGUCCAAGGAAGCAGAGGAGAGAGUGACAGAGGAACAGACUGUCCCUGCAAGAAUGUUCUCUCUAGGGGUACCUCUGGAUCAAAAAUUACAGGAUAUAAAUGGUGAAAGGUGAGUGCCAUGAGCAGAUCCUUGUGUUGAGUCACGAAGUGUGAAGCUGCUGUCCCAUGGAGGAAGGGCUCAGCAUGCCCAGGCCGCCUGGCUGACAGCUGAUCCCAAAAGAAGCCACGGGCACCCGCUACCCGAUCCCAGUCUGAAGGGUUUCAUCCCCACUCAAGCCUCCGCCCUAGCUAAGGGGCAGGCUCUUUCCGGGGGGGAGCUUCUCACCACCGGUGCCACGGGCGGGCAGGCCGCCGGGUCCCACGGGAGGAGCAGCUGGGCACGGCCGCUCGCCGCGGGGAAUGGAGCGCCGGACCCGCGCCCGCCGCUGGGGCCAUGUUGGCAGCCCGGGAACGGGCAGCGCCUGGCAGCGUCAGACGGGAAGCCCGGGCUUCAGGAGGAGCCAGUUUCGGCUGCCCCCGCUCCCCCCCGCGGUCGC
Vidua macroura (Pin-tailed whydah) is the source of this 1301-nucleotide long non-coding RNA. RefSeq lists it as uncharacterized. The transcript has 4 exons. NCBI's taxonomy places the organism in Eukaryota, Metazoa, Chordata, Aves, Passeriformes, Viduidae. The record is from RefSeq and is a predicted model, not a curated record.